GUUGGCUUAGAAGCAGCCACUCAUUCAAAGAGUGCGUAAUAGCUCACUGGUCGAGUGAUCCUGCGCCGAAGAUUUCCGGGGCUAAAACUUACUACCGAAGCUACGGCAUCAGGAAUGAUGGGUAGGGGAGCUUCCCAUACGGGUUGAAGCAUGACCGUAAGGACAUGUGGACAGUAUGGGAGUGAGAAUGUUGGCAUGAGUAGCGAGA
This 208-nucleotide ribosomal RNA is filed under the name Clostridioides difficile. RNAcentral's name for it is "partial 23S ribosomal RNA". It matches the Rfam family "Bacterial large subunit ribosomal RNA", at positions 1100 to 1314 of the family's 2925-position model. Lineage: Bacteria; Bacillati; Bacillota; Clostridia; Peptostreptococcales; Peptostreptococcaceae. The record is from RNAcentral.